This is a long non-coding RNA of Cannabis sativa, 2662 nucleotides long. RefSeq lists it as uncharacterized. The record is from RefSeq and is a predicted model, not a curated record. Lineage: Eukaryota; Viridiplantae; Streptophyta; Magnoliopsida; Rosales; Cannabaceae. The transcript has 2 exons.
UUCCUUUCUUGUAUUUCUUUGUUUUGGACUUUGAACAACAUUGCAGUUCUUAUGGAGAUCCAGCACAUGGUUAUGGUUUCAGAGUCAUAAUUGAUGUUUCUACAACAGACCUAUUUUGCGAAAUAUAUGACUAGUUUUAUUUGCUUCUUAUUGUCUAAUUGACUCUCUCACCCUACAUGAUGAUAUUUUCUUAUUAGGUAAAUCCAUUAUUUGUUUUUUGACUCUCUCCUUGUAUAUUUUUUCUCAUUUGGUAAAUUUGUCGUUCUUUCAGUAUUUAUUUGACUUCGGUGAACUAAUUAAAGUUGGCCGGCAACGGUGAACAACGUAUCAUAGUCAUUGUUCCCUUUUUACUAUGUUUGCUACCUUUGUUUAACGUGUCAUUUAGUUUUCCUUUCUUGAAUUUUCUUGAUAUUAAGAUGAAAACUAAUACUGUUGCUAUCAAGUUAUACACAAGAAAUUGGGUUAGUAUCCUUUUUGUCAUCCAUACCGUUUGCUCAUAAAUUUUUUAAUUAGCAAGAUGUUUAUUGUGAAUGUCAUCAGCUAGCUUUUUUACUUGUUCAACGAAUUUUUAGGGUUCAGCUUUUCUGAAGAAUAUUCUGAUAAUUGGGGUCUGCAUCUUCUCUAGUCAUAGCAAAAAGGAGUUAACUCGUCACAUAGUAUCUUUUAAUAGACACUCUUUAUCUUUUACUACAUUGUGAUUUUUUGUUCAUGUCUUUGCUUGGGGUGUUCGGCGAUUUUUCAGGGUUUAGCUUUUCUCAAGAAUGUUCUCAUAAUUAGCGUCUGAAUCUUUUCCAGUCCCAGCAAAAGGGAGUUAACUUGUUAUAGUAACUUUUAGUAAACGACAUUUUAUCUUUCACUAUAUUGUGAUUUUUUAUUCAUGUCUUUUGCUUGGGGUGUUCACGAUUUUUCAGGGUUUAGCUCUCAAGAAUAUUCUGCAUCUUCUCCAGUCCCAGCAAAAGGGAGUUUAACUUGUUAUAGUCUUUUUAAUAGACGACUUUUCUUCUUUCACUACAUUGUGAUUUUUUGUGCAUGUCUUUUGCUUGGGAUGUUCAACGAAUUUUCAGGUUCAACUUUUAUGAAGAAUAUUCUCAUAAUUAGUGUCUUCAUCUUCUCAGUUCCCAACAAAAGGGAGUUAACUUAUUAUAAUAUCUUUUAAUAGACACCAUGAGAUUUUCAACAACCUACCUAUUUUGUGAAAAAUAAGAAUUUCAGCUUGACAUACUUAUCCUUUUUAAAAUUGUUUCUCACUCUCCUUAUAUGUUUUUCCUCAUUUGGUAAAUCUGUCGUUUCUUUCAGUACUUAUUUGACUUGGGUAAACUAAUUAAAGGUGCCCUGCCAUGGUGGUGGUGUUUUGAGAAAAUUAUUGCAUUGGUGUGUCCCAUUGUAUAUUGUUUCUUUUUUACUAUGUGUACUUCUUUCGUUUUACGUGUCAUUUAAUUUUCCUUUAUCCUUUUUGCCAUCAAUACCGUUUGCUCAUAAAUAUUGUAAUUAGCAAGAUGUUUAUGUGAAUGUUGUCACCUAGCUUUCCAUUUAUUGUUUAAUCGAAUUUUCUGUUUGUUUUAACUUUCUACAUAAUCAAAAUUGUGGUGGUCUUUGGUUUGACAUAACAUCCUCAACCUUACAUUUUAUAUCUCCGUUGGCUCAACGUGCUACAUUGUUUGGAUUUUGGUCUAUCUUUGUAGAUGAUGGGAAAUGGUUCAAGACUAUCUUAGCUGUCAUAUGCAUUUGUUCAAUAAUUUUAAGUUCUAAACUUGCUUCAAUAAUUCCUAUCAGAACAUAUAUACCUUGGCACCUCAGAAGGGAGUUAUCUUGUUCUAGUAUUUCCUUUGAAUGACUUGUAUUGUUUGUGCUUUGUUGUGCUCAAUAAAUUUUCAGGUUCAGAAGAUGUGUUAAAUGUUUGAGGCCUGCAGCCUUCUUUUUUUAGUACCAUUUUAGUGAAGGUUUACUUAAAACUUGGCUUAUAGUAUUUACUGACAUAGCUUCAAUAUUUUAUUAUUUAUCUUCAUGCUGCAGUUUGCAUUCUGUCUUAAUAGUUGUGGGUUUCGAUUCAUGCUGUCUUCUCUGCAUUGGUGUUUUCACUCCCCACUGUCGUUUCCACUGGCAUGGUUUGGAAUUAUGUGUUAAGUACAGAUUUGUUUGGGUUAUCUAGUGUUCUAAUCUCUUCUUCUGAAUGUUUGUGUUGCUCAAAUUUUUUUUUUUGUGAAAAUAAGCGUGAAUAGUCAUUAAUCAAAUAAAACAGUUAGACCUCGCGGUUAUUACAGAAUAGAUUUUCCAAAAUAGAGGAGAUUGGAAUUGCCAAACAGUUGGUGGGAAAAGGCCUACUUAACCACAUUAUGGGCAACAUAAUUACAGUACCUAUUAACAUUAGAAAAAAUACAACACAUAAAAGAGGGAGAUGGCUUGGUACAAAAAGAGACGUAGUUCUCAAAUCUGGUAUAAUAAAAUCUUACUCCUCAUCAAGUGCUUUUUAACUAAUUUGUGCUGAUGUAUCCUAGUUUUGUUAUCAGUUUUGGAUAUAUGGCCAUUUGCUGCCCAUGACACUUUAUCUUUAUAUAAGUUAAUGAAAUUUGUCCUGUUAUAUAUAUUAUAAUAUUUACAAAGUUUAAUCAACUCAUUUGUUUUUUGCUUGAACUUUAUCUUAAGUGAUUGGAUUUGGAUUUUA